This 1666-nucleotide unclassified non-coding RNA is filed under the name Pomacea canaliculata. Its description in RNAcentral is "endoplasmic reticulum-Golgi intermediate compartment protein 3-like, transcript variant X1". The record is from RNAcentral. Lineage: Eukaryota; Metazoa; Mollusca; Gastropoda; Architaenioglossa; Ampullariidae.
UACAACAGCAAGGUAGCUUGACGUUGGCGUGUGUUGUCGUACGGUUGGUUGUUGGACUCGUGUUCUUACCAGUGUUCUUAGCGACGACUUCAGAAUGCAAGUCAGAGAUUUAUUCGACAAACUUCGACAGUUUGAUGCUUAUCCAAAGACGCUAGAAGAUUUUCGCAUCAAGACGUAUGGAGGUGCUAUAGUAACCUUGCUGAGUGCCGUGAUCAUGUUCACUCUGUUUGUUUCGGAACUGAAUUAUUACUUGACAAAAGAAGUGCAUCCAGAAUUAUUUGUUGAUACAUCUAGGGGCCAGAAACUUCGUAUCAAUGUUGACAUUACCUUUCAUCAUCUACCCUGUGCAUAUCUGAGUGUUGAUGCAAUGGAUAUAUCAGGCGAACAGCAAAUUGACUUGGAAACAAAUUUAUUGAAACAGCGACUGGACUCUACAGGCAAUCCUAUUAAUGAGACACCCCAGGAACAGAAGAUUGGAGAACCUACAAGUGUAACUAAUGAGAUAACAACAGAGAAGCUAGACCCAGACAGAUGUGAGAGUUGUUAUGGAGCAGAGACAGAUGAUAAAAGAUGCUGCAAUAAUUGUGAAGAUGUCCGAGAGGCAUAUCGCAAGAGAGGCUGGGCAUUUAAUAAUCCAGAGUCUAUUGAACAAUGCAAGCGUGAAGGAUGGUCAGAAAGCAUGCAGGCUCAGAAGAAUGAAGGCUGUCAAGCAUUUGGUUACUUGGAAGUGAACAAAGUAGCUGGAAAUUUUCAUUUUGCACCAGGCAAAAGUUUUCAACAGCAUCAUGUGCAUGUCCAUGAUCUUCAAGCAUUUGGAGGACAAAAGGUCAGUCAGCAAUAUUUUCUGAUGUCAAAAUUUUCAUGGAGUGAUUGUGCUUGUGAGACAGUUUUGAGAAACAUGGGAAUGGUAGAAAAAUAUUUUAAGAUAAAAAUUAUUCUUGGCAGCAUAACUAUUUGUAGUUUAGUGUUUUAUUUCUUUAUAAACCAAACACCCUUAAUUUGUAGUAGUGUGUGCCCAACUGAGGGAGGGCUGCCCAAAACCGGGUCCGCUGGCAAGGUGUUGUUGCAGCCCUAUGUUCCUCGAGGAGUAACAAGGAAUAAACUAACUAAACUAAAUGCAACUUACUGGACUAGGGCUAUUUACUAUAUAAAAAGUUCCAUAAACUUAACAUCAAGAGAACGGGAGGUGUUAUUCAUCACAUAUCUUGGGGCCAGCUCUUGUAAGAUCAGUACUCCUUUCCUUACCUUUCCCAACCCUCUGCAGAAUCAGAUACCCAUUCCAUAGUUGGAUCAACUGAAGGAAGAAUGCUACAUCACAGAGUAAUUAACUGCCAGUGGGUGUGUGCGAGCCUUCGGUUUCAGAUGCUGUUGUUCUAACCACAAGGCUAUUUUCCCCUUAUAUUUCUGACUUCUAUCACAUUAAAGUCGAGUUAUCAAAGGUUGUGUGAUAGCUACAAUCACAGUCUGGGCUCAAUGUGAAAAGGAAUAAAAUGUUUGUAUGUGAAACUUUUUCCAGUUUAAUGUCACUCACCGGAUUAAUCAUCUGUCAUUUGGGCAAGACUAUCCAGGCAUUGUCAAUCCUUUAGAUGGACACCAUGAAUCUGCUUCAAGUUUACAGAUGAUGUUCCAGUAUUUUGUCAAGAUUGUGCCAACCACUUACACAAAA